RNAcentral lists this ribosomal RNA (422 nucleotides) under uncultured bacterium. RNAcentral describes it as "bacterial SSU rRNA". It matches the Rfam family "Bacterial small subunit ribosomal RNA", at positions 355 to 774 of the family's 1533-position model. The record is from RNAcentral.
UAAGGAAUAUUGGUCAAUGGAGGCAACUCUGAACCAGCCAUGCCGCGUGCAGGAAGACGGCCCUCUGGGUUGUAAACUGCUUUUAUUCGGGAAUAAACCUAUCUACGUGUAGAUAGCUGAAUGUACCGAAGGAAUAAGGAUCGGCUAACUCCGUGCCAGCAGCCGCGGUAAUACGGAGGAUCCAAGCGUCAUCCGGAUUUAUUGGGUUUAAAGGGUGCGUAGGCGGCCUAUUAAGUCAGGGGUGAAAGACGGUAGCUCAACUAUCGCAGUGCCCUUGAUACUGAUGAGCUUGAAUGAACUAGAGGUAGGCGGAAUGUGACAAGUAGCGGUGAAAUGCAUAGAUAUGGCACAGAACACCGAUUGCGAAGGCAGCUUACUAUGGUUUUAUUGACGCUGAGGCACGAAAGCGUGGGGAUCAAACA